GGGGAUGUAAUGGUUUCGACAGGAAUGUGGAACAAGGAUAAGCGAGCCGUGGCGCCCAGUCCACGUAAAAAGGGGCCGUUAAAUAUAAACGCUAAAAAUAACAACAAUUUCGCACUGGCUGCAUAGUUCAGCCCCGCGCGCCGCUUCAGGCUCACCUGCAGGCUUGAAAUCCGGUGUCAUGAAUGCAGGAAACCGCUGGAAGAGCUCCUGGUAUUUCAGCGGACUUACAGGAUAGCAGUUCCGUAGUGUGUCAGCGUCACGGCGGAUACUGCGAAUGACAAAGCACUGACUGCGCUCGGAGAAAGUUCUUCGGAAAUAUUUUUGGACGUGGGUUCGACUCCCACCAUCUCCACCA
RNAcentral lists this transfer-messenger RNA (355 nucleotides) under Anaerovoracaceae. Its description in RNAcentral is "VUNA01 sp002299625 Standard tmRNA". It matches the Rfam family "transfer-messenger RNA". From Rfam's summary of the family: Bacterial tmRNA, also known as 10Sa RNA or SsrA, is named for its dual tRNA and mRNA-like properties. Its role is to liberate the mRNA from a stalled ribosome. RNAcentral also lists the same sequence under 4 other names. The record is from RNAcentral. Lineage: Bacteria; Bacillati; Bacillota; Clostridia; Peptostreptococcales.